GGUAAUACGUAGGUGGCAAGCGUUAUCCGGAAUUAUUGGGCGUAAAGCGCGCGUAGGCGGUUUUUUAAGUCUGAUGUGAAAGCCCACGGCUCAACCGUGGAGGGUCAUUGGAAACUGUAAAACUUGAGUGCAGAAGAGGAAAGUGGAAUUCCAUGUGUAGCGGUGAAAUGCGCAGAGAUAUGGAGGAACACCAGUGGCGAAGGCGACUUUCUGGUCUGUAACUGACGCUGAUGUGCGAAAGCGUGGGGAUCAAACAGGAUUAGAUACCCUGGUAGUCCACGCCGUAAACGAUGAGUGCUAAGUGUUAGGGGGUUUCCGCCCCUUAGUGCUGCAGCUAACGCAUUAAGCACUCCGCCUGGGGAGUACGACCGCAAGGUUGAAACUCAAAGGAAUUGGCGCGGACCCGCACAAGCGGUGGAGCAUGUGGUUUAAUUCGAAGCAACGCGAAGAACCUUACCAAAUCUUGACAUCCUUUGACAACUCUAGAGAUAGAGCCUUCCCCUUCGGGGGACAAAGUGACAGGUGGUGCAUGGUUGUCGUCAGCCUCGUGUCGUGAGAUGUUGGGUUAAGUCCCGCAACGAGCGCAACCCUUAAGCUUAGUUGCCAUCACUUAAGUUGGGCACUCUAAGUUGACUGCCGGUGACAAACCGGAGGAAGGUGGGGAUGAAGUCAAAUCAUCAUGCCCCUUAUGAUUUGGGCUACACACGUGCUUCAAUGGACAAUACAAAGGGCAGCGAAACCGCGAGGUCAAGCAAAUCCCAUAAAGUUGUUGUCAGUUCGGAUUGUAGUUUGCAACUUGACUACAUGAAGCUGGAAUCGCUAGUAAUCGUAGAUCAGCAUGCUACGGUGAAUACGUUCCCGGGUCUUGUACACACCGCCCGUCCCACCACGAGAGUUUGUAACACCCGAAGCCGGUGGAGUAACCAUUUGGAGCUAGCCGUCGAAGGUGGGACAAAUGAUUGGGGUGAAGUGGGAACAAGGUAACC
This 986-nucleotide ribosomal RNA is filed under the name uncultured Staphylococcus sp. RNAcentral describes it as "bacterial SSU rRNA". It matches the Rfam family "Bacterial small subunit ribosomal RNA", at positions 519 to 1501 of the family's 1533-position model. Lineage: Bacteria; Bacillati; Bacillota; Bacilli; Caryophanales; Staphylococcaceae. The record is from RNAcentral.